This 72-nucleotide transfer RNA is filed under the name Fasciola gigantica. Its description in RNAcentral is "tRNA-Thr". Lineage: Eukaryota; Metazoa; Platyhelminthes; Trematoda; Plagiorchiida; Fasciolidae. The record is from RNAcentral.
GCAGUAGCUCAGCUGGUAGAGCAUCUGUCUUGUGAGAGGAAGGUGGCUAGUCCGAUUCCAGCUCGCGCUGCU